Molecule: ribosomal RNA, 669 nt
Filed under: Acinetobacter baumannii
Lineage: Bacteria; Pseudomonadati; Pseudomonadota; Gammaproteobacteria; Moraxellales; Moraxellaceae
Description: partial 23S ribosomal RNA
Rfam family: Bacterial large subunit ribosomal RNA
Source: RNAcentral
GUUGUAUAGUCAAGUAAUUAAGUGCAUGUGGUGGAUGCCUUGGCAGUCAGAGGCGAUGAAAGACGUGAUAGCCUGCGAAAAGCUCCGGGGAGGCGGCAAAUAUCCUUUGAUCCGGAGAUGUCUGAAUGGGGGAACCCACCUACUUUAAGGUAGGUAUUGCAACAUGAAUACAUAGUGUUGCAAGGCGAACGAGGGGAAGUGAAACAUCUCAGUACCCUUAGGAAAAGAAAUCAAUUGAGAUUCCCUCAGUAGCGGCGAGCGAACGGGGAUCAGCCCAUUAAGUUAUGUGUGUUUUAGUGGAACGCUCUGGGAAGUGCGAACGUAGAGGGUGAUAUUCCCGUACACGAAAGGGCACACAUAAUGAUGACGAGUAGGGCGAGGCACGUGAAACCUUGUCUGAAUAUGGGGGGACCAUCCUCCAAGGCUAAAUACUCCUGACUGACCGAUAGUGAACCAGUACCGUGAGGGAAAGGCGAAAAGAACCCCUGUGAGGGGAGUGAAAUAGAUCCUGAAACCGCAUGCAUACAAGCAGUGGGAGCACCUUCGUGGUGUGACUGCGUUCCUUUUGUAUAAUGGGUCAGCGACUUAUAUUCAGUAGCGAGGUUAACCGUAUAGGGGAGCCGUAGAGAAAUCGAGUCUUAAUAGGGCGUUUAGUUGCUGGGUAUAGAC